Molecule: ribosomal RNA, 255 nt
Filed under: uncultured bacterium
Lineage: Bacteria
Description: partial 16S ribosomal RNA
Rfam family: Bacterial small subunit ribosomal RNA
Source: RNAcentral
UACGUAGGGUGCAAGCGUUGUCCGGAAUUAUUGGGCGUAAAGAGCUCGGUAGGCGGUUUGUCGCGUCUGCUGUGAAAACCCGAGGCUCAACCUCGGGCCUGCAGUGGGUACGGGCAGACUAGAGUGGCGGUAGGGGAGAUUGGAAUUCCUGGUGUAGCGGUGGAAUGCGCAGAUAUCAGGAGGAACACCAAUGGCGAAGGCAGAUCUCUGGGCCGUAACUGACGCUGAGGAGCGAAAGCGUGGGGAGCGAACAGG